AACGCUAGCUACAGGCUUAACACAUGCAAGUCGAGGGGAAACGACAGAGGAAGCUUGCUUCCUUUGGGCGUCGACCGGCGCACGGGUGAGUAACGCGUAUCCAACCUGCCCACCACUUGGGGAUAACCUUGCGAAAGUAAGACUAAUACCCGAUGAUAUCCCUAGACGACAUCCGAAAGGGAUUAAAGAUUUAUCGGUGAUGGAUGGGGAUGCGUCUGAUUAGCUUGUUGGCGGGGUAACGGCCCACCAAGGCAACGAUCAGUAGGGGUUCUGAGAGGAAGGUCCCCCACACUGGUACUGAGACACGGACCAGACUCCUACGGGAGGCAGCAGUGAGGAAUAUUGGUCAAUGGGCGGAAGCCUGAACCAGCCAAGUCGCGUGAGGGAAGACGGUCCUAUGGAUUGUAAACCUCUUUUGCCGGGGAGCAAGCCGGGUCUGCGGACCCGCGUUGAGAGUACCCGGAGAAAAAGCAUCGGCUAACUCCGUGCCAGCAGCCGCGGUAAUACGGAGGAUGCGAGCGUUAUCCGGAUUUAUUGGGUUUAAAGGGUGCGUAGGCGGAUUGUUAAGUCAGUGGUCAAAACGGGAGGCUCAACCUUCUGUCGCCAUUGAAACUGGCAGUCUAGAGUGAGCGAGAAGUAUGCGGAAUUCGUGGUGUAGCGGUGAAAUGCUUAGAUAUCACGAAGAACUCCGAUUG
RNAcentral lists this ribosomal RNA (695 nucleotides) under uncultured bacterium. RNAcentral's name for it is "partial 16S ribosomal RNA". It matches the Rfam family "Bacterial small subunit ribosomal RNA", at positions 32 to 715 of the family's 1533-position model. The record is from RNAcentral.